UACGGAGGGAGCUAGCGUUGUUCGGAAUUACUGGGCGUAAAGCGCGCGUAGGCGGCUUUGUAAGUUAGAGGUGAAAGCCCGGGGCUCAACCCCGGAAUUGCCUUUAAGACUGCAUCGCUAGAAUCCGGGAGAGGUGAGUGGAAUUCCGAGUGUAGAGGUGAAAUUCGUAGAUAUUCGGAAGAACACCAGUGGCGAAGGCGGCUCACUGGACCGGCAUUGACGCUGAGGUGCGAAAGCGUGGGGAGCAAACAGG
RNAcentral lists this ribosomal RNA (253 nucleotides) under uncultured bacterium. RNAcentral describes it as "partial 16S ribosomal RNA". It matches the Rfam family "Bacterial small subunit ribosomal RNA", at positions 524 to 776 of the family's 1533-position model. The record is from RNAcentral.